GGCAAGGGAGGGGUUUCUCUAGCACCAAGCAGUUCUCCGGACACCAGCUGGAUGUCCCGUAAUUCAGCUCAAUUCUGACACUCUCUCUCCUAAGGUAGCAUCACGUCCCACAGGUUAAGGGCUCAGUCCCCUAAGAUCACCUGUCCCUAAACUCCAGGCACCAGUCACCGUCCAGGUUGUUUCCUGUGCUUCCGACCAACCGGUUACAAAUGAGAGGUUCCAGCCACCCUGUCCCAUUUAGGACAACCAGUUGCAAGCCCAGGUUACUACCUGUGCUAGCGAAACAGGUAGCACAGCCUGAGCGGAGAGUGCGAAGUGGGGGAGAGGUACUGGAGAUGGGAGGACGAGAGGGAAGAAAUGAAAUAAUCAUGAUGACCGGCUUGGGGAAAUGUGGUGGAACUCAGGAUCCGGGCCCAGGAGGCUCCCAUAUCAGCAAAUUUCUCAUAUUUUAUGGACUGCAGGAGAAACGAAGCACCGUGGACAAGAGCUCCAUAAAGGGGAAGUGAGGUCAAGGCGAAGGCGCGGCUGUGAGAAGAGCUUUGAUCUGCCCGAGCGUCGGGACACGUGGCGGGUCAGCUCUGCGCCGGGGGCUUUGAACAAGGGCCGCCCUUGCCUGGAAAACCCGAACUCAGGAGAGAGCCUCUGCAGGGUUGAAAGGGACUCGGGAGGUGGCCACGCCCAGGCUCACUCUGCUCAGAUGAGAGACGGCAAGAGUCGGCAAAUGCAGGGCCGGAAAUCUCGGCUCAUUCGAGCCCCCUCGAGGGCCCACGAAGGUUCCAGAAGGUCGCCUGUUCUUCACAUCUCCGCGUGGGCCACCGCAAGCGAAACAGGCUUCACAGUUUCCCCACCAGACUCCUCAGCCCUCCACUGA
Vulpes vulpes (red fox) is the source of this 871-nucleotide long non-coding RNA. The record is from Ensembl. NCBI's taxonomy places the organism in Eukaryota, Metazoa, Chordata, Mammalia, Carnivora, Canidae.